This 551-nucleotide ribosomal RNA is filed under the name uncultured bacterium. RNAcentral describes it as "bacterial SSU rRNA". It matches the Rfam family "Bacterial small subunit ribosomal RNA", at positions 355 to 896 of the family's 1533-position model. The record is from RNAcentral.
UGAGGAAUUUUGCGCAAUGGGGGAAACCCUGACGCAGCAACGCCGCGUGAGUGAUGAAGGCUUUCGGGUCGUAAAGCUCUGUCAAGUGGGAAGAACAAGCCUGAUGUUAAUACCAUCAGGAACUGACGGUACCACUGAAGGAAGCACCGGCUAACUCCGUGCCAGCAGCCGCGGUAAUACGGGGGGUGCAAGCGUUAUUCGGAAUCAUUGGGCGUAAAGAGCGCGUAGGCGGCCCUUUAAGUCAGAUGUGAAAUCCCGGGGCUUAACCCCGGAAGUGCAUUUGAAACUAUUGGGCUUGAGUAUGGGAGAGGGAAGCGGAAUUCCUGGUGUAGAGGUGAAAUUCGUAGAUAUCAGGAGGAACAUCGGUGGCGAAGGCGGCUUCCUGGACCAAUACUGACGCUGAGGCGCGAAGGCGUGGGUAGCAAACAGGAUUAGAUACCCUGGUAGUCCACGCAGUAAACGUUGAACACUAGGUGUAGCGGGUAUUGACCCCUGCUGUGCCGCAGUUAACGCAAUAAGUAGACCGCCUGGGGAGUACGGCCGCAAGGUUA